AAGAGUAUAGCUAAGAUAGUAUAGCAUCUCCCUUACACUGAGAAGACAUUCGUGCAACUCGAAUUACUCUUA
Molecule: transfer RNA, 72 nt
Filed under: Acanthurus monroviae (Monrovia doctorfish)
Lineage: Eukaryota; Metazoa; Chordata; Actinopteri; Acanthuriformes; Acanthuridae
Description: tRNA-Val
Rfam family: tRNA
About the family: Transfer RNA (tRNA) molecules are approximately 80 nucleotides in length. Their secondary structure includes four short double-helical elements and three loops (D, anti-codon, and T loops).
Source: RNAcentral